CUGGGAUAAGCCUGGGAAACUGGGUCUAAUACCGGAUAUGACCACGAGUCGCAUGGUUUGUGGUGGAAAGAUUUAUCGGUGCGAGAUGGGCCCGCGGCCUAUCAGCUUGUUGGUGGGGUAAUGGCCUACCAAGGCGACGACGGGUAGCCGGCCUGAGAGGGCGACCGGCCACACUGGGACUGAGACACGGCCCAGACUCCUACGGGAGGCAGCAGUGGGGAAUAUUGCACAAUGGGCGGAAGCCUGAUGCAGCGACGCCGCGUGCGGGAUGACGGCCUUCGGGUUGUAAACCGCUUUCGACAGGGACGAAGCGUGAGUGACGGUACCUGUAGAAGAAGCACCGGCCAACUACGUGCCAGCAGCCGCGGUAAUACGUAGGGUGCGAGCGUUGUCCGGAAUUACUGGGCGUAAAGAGCUUGUAGGCGGUUUGUCGCGUCGUUCGUGAAAACUUGGGGCUCAACCCCAAGCUUGCGGGCAGAUCG
Molecule: ribosomal RNA, 482 nt
Filed under: Nocardia wallacei
Lineage: Bacteria; Bacillati; Actinomycetota; Actinomycetes; Mycobacteriales; Nocardiaceae
Description: bacterial SSU rRNA
Rfam family: Bacterial small subunit ribosomal RNA
Source: RNAcentral